Molecule: long non-coding RNA, 2753 nt
Organism: Glycine soja
Lineage: Eukaryota; Viridiplantae; Streptophyta; Magnoliopsida; Fabales; Fabaceae
Exons: 10
Source: RefSeq, a predicted model, not a curated record
UUCAUGUUUCUUCCUCAGCCAUUGUCUCCAUCAAACUUUUUGCCUUGCCUCCCUGAAGCUCAUCCACAUGGUGUCCCUGAACCUCACCCACAUGGUGUACCUCAAACCCUGAACCUCACCCAUAUUGUGUACCUCAAACCCUAGCCUGCUGUCUCAAAAUUAUUAGGUUAUACGCCAUCAAUAGUGUUUUCACACGCGCAUCCAUACUCACCUUGUCAAACAGGAUUUUGUAGUCUAUGAUUAGGAACAACUAUCCCAAAAGCUGAAGCUUUUAGAUGGAGGCAAAACUCUUGAGGAACUUGAAGCUAUACGUAAAGAUGUCGUCUUGAAAUACACUAAAGGCCUAUGUUGGGUGACGCACUAUUAUUAUGAAGGCGUUUGUUCUUGGAAUUGGUGAGUUCCUUUUCUAGCUUUAAUUUUCCUGGAGAACUGUAUGAGCCUGAAAUUUUGUUGGCUUUCAUUUACCUUUAAUAUGGCACUUGUGAUAUUUUUCUCUUUUCUCACCUUGGAUGAUUAAAUUUGGGAUGACGUAAUUUAAGGUGUUGAAUACUUGGUUUUAAGACUAGUUUGGUUGAAACUGAAAUUGUGUGAUGCAUGCUGGUGACUUUGUUCCUUGCCCGUCUCUCCUUCCCUUUUCUGUCUAUUUAAUAUUCUUUUUACCUUGGUGAGUAUAGACACAUUUUGUUAAUUGGAUGUAUCUAUAAGACUAUUGCAAAGGUGUUAUCAAGGAAGUUAGAAGGGGUACUCAAUACAUUGAUGAGAGGUAAGGGGCUUUUAUUAGGAGGAAGGAGCAUGCUUGAUGGUGUUGUUGUGGAAAACGAGGGGGUGGAGGAGGCUAAAAGGUGGUGGAGGAGGUGGAAAAAUUUUCAGGAUCUUACUAGUACGGUUACAUUGAACAAGCAUCACGAUGACUUGUGGAGAUGGAAGCUGGAUUCUUCGGGCCUAUACUCUGUGGCCUCUGCAUACUCUAUGCUACAACGCACACUCACCAAAUCUGACAAUUGAAAACUUUUACAAGCAUCUUUGGUAGAUCAAGACCCCGCCACCGGUGGAGAGCUACACUUAAUAGGCUACCAACGAAGCUGAAUUUGAAGAAAAGAAGGGUGUUGCUGAAAAAUGAUCUUGGAUUAUGCUUGUUUUGUGGCAAAGAUGUGGAGUCAGAGGAACAUUUAUUGCUAACUUGCUGUGUAACAGAGAGGAUCUGGAAGCACUGGUGUAGCUGUAUUGGUUCUCAUGUGGUUAUGCCUAAUGAUCUGAGAACACACUACUGGCAGCACCCCUCGAUGGUGAGAGGGAAAUUGGGAGGUAUGGCUUGGACGAUGGUAUCGUUUACCAUCAUCUGGUGUGUGUGGAGAUUGCGAAAUGAUAUGAUAUUUAAUCAUGUGUUAUCUUUCCAUGGUAUUUAGGAUGAAGUCUUGGGUAUGGCUGUAUCCUAAAGUGGAUGGGUUUAAUUACUUGUUUGCUGAAUGGGUGAUCUCACCAGGUGAGUGCAUUUUGAAUCUUGAUAGCUUUAGGCACAAUUAGCUGGGUGGUUAGAUUUUAGUGUUGGAGGUAUAUAUAUUGAAUUUCUUUCAUAUAUAUAUAUAUAUAUAUAUAUAUGAAAGAUUUUUUUUUUCUUUUAACAAAAGAAAAUUACAUUCCUAGGUGAGUGCAGUUUUAGGUACUGAGGAAAAAUAAUUGGUUAUGUUUUGUUUUUUUAUCUCAUUUUGUUUAAGAAGCUAUGGAGUGGUCUAAAUUUGUUCACUAGUUAAUUCCUUCCAGGCAAGUGACUUUCUCCAAGAGAAGCAAAGGGUUUUUCAAGAAGGCUCUGGAAUUGUCAGCCCUUUGUGAUGCACACAUAGCUCUCAUUGUUUUUUCUACAACUAGCAAGCUCUUUGAGUAUGCCAGUUCAAGUAUGCAUCAAGUAAUUGAAAGGCGCGAUAACCAUUCAACAAUGCAUAGACUGGAUCGCCCCUCUAUUGAGCUGCAGGUUUUAUCCUUAUCACCAUGCCCCCUUUGCAUCUGAUCUCAAAGGCCUUGGUGAACUUGAUAUUAGCUUUAGGCUGGGUACCCCAUUCAAACCAAUUGAUAGGGGUCUUUCCUGCUGCAAGCUCUCAUUCACUUCCUGAGCCGUAUAGGAGACUUAUGACAGAUCCAAACUCACCAAUCAUUGAUUUUUAUCUAAUUGACUUUGAAGUGGACAUGAAUAGCAAACGCUUUGCUUGGCAGGUUCAAUCUUAAUUUACCUUUGCCUUUUCUAGAGAUGGUUGCAUCAUAGCUCAAUAGUGAACGGGCUGUGGUCAAGGAAAAAAUCAACCCUAAAGAAAGCAAGACUUGGAAAUAGCCAAAAGAACACAUGAAGAACAUGUUUCAGAGUUAGAAUUGCAAGCUACUGAAUCUGAAGCUGAAUAUGAAAAAAGAAUAGAGGGACUUAAGCUUCAUCUUGUAGAUGCAAGAAUGCAAGUGAAGGAACUAGAGGCAUUUUCCGAAUCCAGAUUUUUGAAAUGGAAGAAUAAAGAGGAUACCUAUCAAACUAUUGUAAAUUUCCAAGUUGGAGCUUUCUAGGAACUGAGAGCUGCCAUGAAGUCUGUCAAAGAUGAUGUGAUAAAAACAAAAAGAAACUACUUAGAGGAAUUCAAGUACUUUGGAAUCAAGUUGAAAGGUCUAGCUAAGGCUGUUGAAAAUUAUCAUGUAGUUAUAGCUGAAAAUAGGAAAUUGUAUAAUGAAGUUCAAGAUUUGAAAGGUAUGUAUUAUAUGGUGCUUAUAUGAAGAUU